AUUGAACGCUGGCGGCAUGCCUUACACAUGCAAGUCGAACGGUAACAGGUCUUCGGAUGCUGACGAGUGGCGAACGGGCGAGUAAUACAUCGGAACGUGCCCGAUCGUGGGGGAUAACGGAGCGAAAGCUUUGCUAAUACCGCAUACGAUCUACGGAUGAAAGCAGGGGACCGCAAGGCCUUGCGCGGACGGAGCGGCCGAUGGCAGAUUAGGUAGUUGGUGGGAUAAAAGCUUACCAAGCCGACGAUCUGUAGCUGGUCUGAGAGGACGACCAGCCACACUGGGACUGAGACACGGCCCAGACUCCUACGGGAGGCAGCAGUGGGGAAUUUUGGACAAUGGGCGAAAGCCUGAUCCAGCCAUGCCGCGUGCAGGAUGAAGGCCUUCGGGUUGUAAACUGCUUUUGUACGGAACGAAAAGACUCUUUCUAAUAAAGAGGGUCCAUGACGGUACCGUAAGAAUAAGCACCGGCUAACUACGUG
This 482-nucleotide ribosomal RNA is filed under the name uncultured bacterium. RNAcentral describes it as "partial 16S ribosomal RNA". It matches the Rfam family "Bacterial small subunit ribosomal RNA", at positions 30 to 507 of the family's 1533-position model. The record is from RNAcentral.